UGGGGAAUAUUGGACAAUGGGCGAAAGCCUGAUCCAGCCAUGCCGCGUGGGUGAAGAAGGCCUUAGGGUUGUAAACCCCUUUCAGCGGGGAAGAUAAUGACGGUACCCGCAGAAGAAGUCCCGGCUAACUCCGUGCCAGCAGCCGCGGUAAUACGGAGGGGACUAGCGUUGUUCGGAAUUACUGGGCGUAAAGCGCACGUAGGCGGAUUUGUAAGUCAGGGGUGAAAUCCCGGGGCUCAACCUCGGAACUGCCUUUGAUACUGCAAAUCUCGAGGCCGGAAGAGGUGAGUGGAAUUCCUAGUGUAGAGGUGAAAUUCGUAGAUAUUAGGAAGAACACCAGUGGCGAAGGCGGCUCACUGGUCCGGUACUGACGCUGAGGUGCGAAAGCGUGGGGAGCAAACAGG
Molecule: ribosomal RNA, 404 nt
Filed under: Bacillota bacterium
Lineage: Bacteria; Bacillati; Bacillota
Description: Firmicutes bacterium partial 16S ribosomal RNA
Rfam family: Bacterial small subunit ribosomal RNA
Source: RNAcentral